RNAcentral lists this long non-coding RNA (245 nucleotides) under Gallus gallus (chicken). The record is from RNAcentral. Lineage: Eukaryota; Metazoa; Chordata; Aves; Galliformes; Phasianidae.
CUCCCCGCCAAUCACCAGAUCCUUCUGCUUAGAGCUGCCUUUGAACUUCAAGGGCUCCACCUGGUAGGCUGCCAUCCAGUCCUGCCCAUAGGAGAUGCGGUUGAGGUACCAGGGGGCAGAGAGAAGAGCCCUGUAGCCAGACUUGGUGACAUUCGCCAUCUCCUCUGCAUAUGGCAGAUUGUUCUUCCACACGUGGAUGAUCGUGUCUGGCCUCACCUUCACUCCAUUGUCAAACACCUCCUGCC